RNAcentral lists this ribosomal RNA (300 nucleotides) under uncultured Hyunsoonleella sp. RNAcentral's name for it is "bacterial SSU rRNA". It matches the Rfam family "Bacterial small subunit ribosomal RNA", at positions 496 to 795 of the family's 1533-position model. The record is from RNAcentral. Lineage: Bacteria; Pseudomonadati; Bacteroidota; Flavobacteriia; Flavobacteriales; Flavobacteriaceae.
GGCACGAGCGUGGCAGCGGGCUCGGGAAUGCGUAUGGUGCAGGAUUUAAUGGUGAUUACUGGGAGUAGAGGGUGAGAAGGCGGCUUAUUAAGGCAGAUGUGAAAUCCCAAGGCUGAACCUAGGAACUGACUGUGAAACUAAUAAACUAGAGGUUCGUAAAGGGAGGUAGAAUUCCCGGUGUAGCGGUGAAAUGCGUAGAUAUCUGGAGGAAUACCAGUGGCGAAGGCGACCUCCUGGACGAAAACUGACGCUCAAGCACGAAAGCAUGGGGAGCAAACAGGAUUAGAUACCCCAGUAGUC